RNAcentral lists this ribosomal RNA (624 nucleotides) under Staphylococcus sp. HPC1. RNAcentral's name for it is "bacterial SSU rRNA". It matches the Rfam family "Bacterial small subunit ribosomal RNA", at positions 57 to 669 of the family's 1533-position model. The record is from RNAcentral. Lineage: Bacteria; Bacillati; Bacillota; Bacilli; Caryophanales; Staphylococcaceae.
GCUAGCCGAUACAGAUAAGGAGCUUGCUCCUUUGACGUUAGCGGCGGACGGGUGAGUAACACGUGGAUAACCUACCUAUAAGACUGGGAUAACUUCGGGAAACCGGAGCUAAUACCGGAUAACAUAUUGAACCGCAUGGUUCAAUAGUGAAAGGCGGCUUUGCUGUCACUUAUAGAUGGAUCCGCGCCGUAUUAGCUAGUUGGUAAGGUAACGGCUUACCAAGGCAACGAUACGUAGCCGACCUGAGAGGGUGAUCGGCCACACUGGAACUGAGACACGGUCCAGACUCCUACGGGAGGCAGCAGUAGGGAAUCUUCCGCAAUGGGCGAAAGCCUGACGGAGCAACGCCGCGUGAGUGAUGAAGGUCUUCGGAUCGUAAAACUCUGUUAUCAGGGAAGAACAAAUGUGUAAGUAACUGUGCACAUCUUGACGGUACCUGAUCAGAAAGCCACGGCUAACUACGUGCCAGCAGCCGCGGUAAUACGUAGGUGGCAAGCGUUAUCCGGAAUUAUUGGGCGUAAAGCGCGCGUAGGCGGUUUUUUAAGUCUGAUGUGAAAGCCCACGCUCACCCGUGGAGGGUCAUUGGAAACUGGAAACUUGAGUGCAGAAGAGAAAGUGGAAUUC